ACAUGCCUACAACAUAGCGUUAAUGCACCGGAUCCCAUUAGAACUUCGCAGUUAAGCGUGCUCGAGCUAGAGUAGUACUGGGAUGGGUGACCUCACGGGAAGUCCUAGUGUUUUACAUGCU
This is a non-coding RNA of Picea glauca (white spruce), 121 nucleotides long. The record is from Rfam. NCBI's taxonomy places the organism in Eukaryota, Viridiplantae, Streptophyta, Pinopsida, Pinales, Pinaceae.